This 106-nucleotide microRNA precursor is filed under the name Pelobates cultripes (western spadefoot toad). Lineage: Eukaryota; Metazoa; Chordata; Amphibia; Anura; Pelobatidae. The record is from RNAcentral.
UCGACGUUUCAGCCACACUACAUGGCUUUCAUCAGGAUCUCCACAGCUCCAGAUCCUGGAGAGCUGUGGAGAUCCUGAUGAAAGCCAUGUAGUGUGGCUGAAACAU